GAUGAACGCUGGCGGCGUGCCUAAUACAUGCAAGUCGAGCGAACAGACGAGGAGCUUGCUCCUCUGACGUUAGCGGCGGACGGGUGAGUAACACGUGGAUAACCUACCUAUAAGACUGGGAUAACUUCGGGAAACCGGAGCUAAUACCGGAUAACAUGUUGAACCGCAUGGUUCAACAGUGAAAGACGGUUUUGCUGUCACUUAUAGAUGGAUCCGCGUCGCAUUAGCUAGUUGGUAAGGUAACGGCUUACCAAGGCAACGAUGCGUAGCCGACCUGAGAGGGUGAUCGGCCACACUGGAACUGAGACACGGUCCAGACUCCUACGGGAGGCAGCAGUAGGGAAUCUUCCGCAAUGGGCGAAAGCCUGACGGAGCAACGCCGCGUGAGUGAAGAAGGUCUUCGGAUCGCAAAACUCUGUUAUUAGGGAAGAACAAAUGUGUAAGUAACUAUGCACGUCUUGACGGUACCUAAUCAGAAAGCCACGGCUAACUACGUG
Molecule: ribosomal RNA, 497 nt
Filed under: uncultured bacterium
Lineage: Bacteria
Description: partial 16S ribosomal RNA
Rfam family: Bacterial small subunit ribosomal RNA
Source: RNAcentral